UUUUUUGUGUACGCAUUGGCGUAGCGGUCGCAGUCGGCCGUUCGGAUUCGACACUCGGUUCCCGAUUUAUGUAUCGUUUCACAGCGAGCAUCGAUCGAGACGCUGCAAAAGCUCGCCGCGAAAGUUUUUCAUUCAGUUUUCUUCCAACCGUCGUCGACGUUCGUUCGCUCGUUCGUUUGAGACUUCUCUGCUGCGAUUCGGUCGACCCGAGUGUGUUUCCUUCUGCGUGAUCGAGGAACCCGCGCGAAUUCGAUUGUGUUUUGUGUGGGGACAAGUACCUAGUGUCACUUGUUUGGUGAUAUUUUUGGAUGAUUGUCAGCGAUAGUGAUACUGAUUGAUCAAAAUCAAAGUGACAGUGUCGAACGUGGCCGAUGUGUGGUGACAAAUUUAUUUCCAGCGAAUAAUUUUGAUCACAGUGCGCUUUUUGGAAUCAAACUUCUAUGCCUACACUGUUCUGUAGGCAGUUGCGUAGAAGCAAAACAAGUCAGUGUGUGAGAUAAACAGCUUUUCGGUGUUGAAGAAGAACAAACACUGAAACCGGAGUUUGAUUACGCAGGUCAUUUCCAGAACACUUUGGACAUACGCCUACUGCCCAACAAUUAGCCCGAAAAAAAACAACAGUUCCCAUAAAAUCCGAGAAAAAUCUGAUCGUUAAGUAAGGUGAACGACUGACUGCGCGAGUGUCCAACCCGAUCAGUUGAAAUUCGAAACCGAUACCAAAUUUGGACGCAGCCGAAGGAAAUUCCAGUUCCAGUAUUUGGGGUCCACUGCGGUCGAAAAAUCGCGAGAAGGAAAGGAAACAUUAACCGCCAGAGUACCUAUAUAAAAAAAAGUUUAUUACUAUUGCCUUUGCCCAUGGUUUUUGCGCGCGGUGUGUUUCUCUCUGGUCUGGUUUGGUUGUCGCCCAAAGGCGUGUGAUUAAAAAGUAAUCUGCGGAAUCGGAACCAGUCUUUGGGUACCUAGUGGCGACCAGGUUGCUCGGUUGUUCGCAAAAAUAAAAAUCCGAUUUAGUGUCUCCUCCGCCCGGUGAGAGUUGUGGAGUGACAGAGGGGCUAAAGAGCACGUUCGCGCGCACGCACGACGAAGAAAAGAAUAAUCAUAGAGUGCUGCCGCACUGCGUGUGUCCCGCAUCAAGAAGAAAGAAGUGGAUCACAGCAAUCCGCACAGUCGGUGAAGUGAGUGUUUUGUAAUUGUUGUUCUUUUUUUUUGUGAAGGUUGAAUUUCGACGUUUAUGCCAUUUGGGUGCGCCCAUCAGGUUUGGCGCAGUCAGUGUGUGAUUUUCGGGUGUUCCGACGUUCCGACGACCGACCGACCGACCGACUACUUUGAUCGAAAGUGGAAACUGCGCCAAGUUGCAACUGCUCUGGAGGAACGAGUUUUGUGUGCCGCACCGCACGGUUUGGAUUUUAGUGUUGUUUUUCGUGAUUGUGUGCUGAGCUUGCUUCUGGAACCAAGCAGUUCAGGUGUUUGGGAUUUUCGAGCCAAGGAAUUGCUGCAGCUGUAGUGCUUGCUAUCCGGAGAAAGACGUUUCUGCGCGCUGUAAUGACAGUGCAACUCGUUUAGUACAGGU
This is a long non-coding RNA of Aedes albopictus (Asian tiger mosquito), 1570 nucleotides long. RefSeq lists it as uncharacterized. NCBI's taxonomy places the organism in Eukaryota, Metazoa, Arthropoda, Insecta, Diptera, Culicidae. The record is from RefSeq and is a predicted model, not a curated record. The transcript has 2 exons.